Molecule: unclassified non-coding RNA, 314 nt
Filed under: plant metagenome
Description: partial contains 5.8S ribosomal RNA, internal transcribed spacer 2, and large subunit ribosomal RNA
Rfam family: 5.8S ribosomal RNA (bases 1-105)
Source: RNAcentral
GAAAUGCGAUAAUUAAUGUGAAUUGCAGAAUUCAGUGAAUCAUCGAGUCUUUGAACGCACAUUGCGCCCCCUGGUAUUCCGGGGGGCAUGCCUGUCCGAGCGUCAUUGCUGCCCUCAAGCACGACUUGUGUGUUGGGCUUCCGUCCCUGGCAACGGGGACGGGCCCAAAAGGCAGUGGCGGCACCAUGUCUGGUCCUCGAGCGUAUGGGGCUUUGUCACCCGCUCCCGUAGGUCCAGCUGGCAGCUAGCCUCGCAACCAAUCUUUUUAACCAGGUUGACCUCGGAUCAGGUAGGGAUACCCGCUGAACUUAAGC